Molecule: transfer RNA, 80 nt
Organism: Pleurotus ostreatus PC15
Lineage: Eukaryota; Fungi; Basidiomycota; Agaricomycetes; Agaricales; Pleurotaceae
Rfam family: tRNA
About the family: Transfer RNA (tRNA) molecules are approximately 80 nucleotides in length.
Source: Rfam
GCAUCAAUGGGGUAGUGGUAACCUGGGUCGUUGCCAUUGAGUAUAUCGACCCGCCGCGAGUUCAAUUCUCGCUUGAUGCA